CGGCUCUGGGUCUGUGGGGUG
This 21-nucleotide microRNA is filed under the name Echinops telfairi (small Madagascar hedgehog). Its description in RNAcentral is "Ete-Mir-760_3p (mature (guide))". Lineage: Eukaryota; Metazoa; Chordata; Mammalia; Afrosoricida; Tenrecidae. The record is from RNAcentral.